Momordica charantia (bitter melon) is the source of this 378-nucleotide long non-coding RNA. RefSeq lists it as uncharacterized. NCBI's taxonomy places the organism in Eukaryota, Viridiplantae, Streptophyta, Magnoliopsida, Cucurbitales, Cucurbitaceae. The record is from RefSeq and is a predicted model, not a curated record.
UCGAAACAGAGGAACUGCGAGCGCGAACGACGAUGAUAUUGCAAGAAAAUGAUGGUUUCGGAAUUUGCAUUUGGUUUUAGCUAAUUUAAUGGCUGAAAUUGAGGAUUGGAAUGACUCCACCAUCAAAAUCUCCAGAUUUGUUCAGUUAUUACGGUAUAUGCUUGGUAAUGGUUGCCCGACAGUGAGGCUUUGCGCGCGCCACUCUCUCUUGACGGUUGAAUCAGUCAAGGACAAGCUUUCGCCUCGUAAUUAUCCAGAUAGCAAGCCUCUGCAGGCGCCGCUCUCUUUGAAGUACUUGGCUAGCUCUUGAAGCAGCUUCGACAACUCGCCCCGGGAUUCCAGCCAUGGCUGCUACUUGCAACCCAUAACUCUCGGGGC